CUACUUGCCUGGCAGGAGACAUACGUGAUCGUGGUGGUGGUUUUCCCAGGGGAGGCUCAGCGCUGCACCCUGAUGAGAUGGCCCCUGUGAUUUCCCCACGUGCGGGAAACUUGCCUGCACAAUUUGUGGUCGUGGGGACUGCAUUCAUGCUCUACCCUG
Small nuclear RNA from Octodon degus (degu), 159 nucleotides. Its record names the gene U1. It matches the Rfam family "U1 spliceosomal RNA". From Rfam's summary of the family: U1 is a small nuclear RNA (snRNA) component of the spliceosome (involved in pre-mRNA splicing). Lineage: Eukaryota; Metazoa; Chordata; Mammalia; Rodentia; Octodontidae. The record is from Ensembl.